UAGGGAAUCUUCCACAAUGGGCGAAAGCCUGAUGGAGCAACGCCGCGUGUGUGAUGAAGGGUUUCGGCUCGUAAAACACUGUUGUAAGAGAAGAAUGACAUUGAGAGUAACUNUUCAAUGUGUGACGGUAUCUUACCAGAAAGGAACGGCUAAAUACGUGCCAC
This 164-nucleotide ribosomal RNA is filed under the name uncultured bacterium. RNAcentral describes it as "partial 16S rRNA". It matches the Rfam family "Bacterial small subunit ribosomal RNA", at positions 355 to 511 of the family's 1533-position model. The record is from RNAcentral.